Molecule: ribosomal RNA, 297 nt
Filed under: Triticum aestivum (bread wheat)
Lineage: Eukaryota; Viridiplantae; Streptophyta; Magnoliopsida; Poales; Poaceae
Description: partial small subunit ribosomal RNA
Source: RNAcentral
AUGCAGGUUCCGGGCGACGUCGGCGGGGGUGGAGGGGAAGCGGGGGACAUGCGGGGUCGGCACCGGAUCCAGGCCGAGCUCAAGAAGCUCGAGCAAGAAGCACGCUUCCUCGAGGAGGAACUUGACGAGCUAAAUAAGAUGGAUAAGGUGUCAACAGCACUGCAAGAGUUUGUUGUAACAAUUGAAAGCAAAGCAGACCCUCUACUUCCUGUAACUACCGGAGCUGCUUACCAGUCUUGGGAUAGGUGGUUUGAAGGUCCGCAGGAUCUGCGCAGAUGCAAAUGCUGGUUUUUGUGA